CCUACGGGUGGCUGCAGUGGGGAAUAUUGGACAAUGGGCGAAAGCCUGAUCCAGCCAUGCCGCGUGUGUGAAGAAGGCCUUCGGGUUGUAAAGCACUUUCAGUGGGGAAGAAAGCCUUGGGGCUAAUACCCUCGAGGAAGGACAUCACCCACAGAAGAAGCACCGGCUAACUCCGUGCCAGCAGCCGCGGUAAUACGGAGGGUGCGAGCGUUAAUCGGAAUUACUGGGCGUAAAGCGCGCGUAGGCGGUCUGAUAAGCCGGUUGUGAAAGCCCCGGGCUCAACCUGGGAACGGCAUCCGGAACUGUUAGGCUAGAGUGCAGGAGAGGAAGGUAGAAUUCCCGGUGUAGCGGUGAAAUGCGUAGAGAUCGGGAGGAAUACCAGUGGCGAAGGCGGCCUUCUGGACUGACACUGACGCUGAGGUGCGAAAGCGUGGGUAGCAAACAGGAUUAGAUACCCUUGUAGUC
RNAcentral lists this ribosomal RNA (465 nucleotides) under Vreelandella stevensii. RNAcentral describes it as "partial 16S ribosomal RNA". It matches the Rfam family "Bacterial small subunit ribosomal RNA", at positions 338 to 795 of the family's 1533-position model. Lineage: Bacteria; Pseudomonadati; Pseudomonadota; Gammaproteobacteria; Oceanospirillales; Halomonadaceae. The record is from RNAcentral.